GGUGGCUGUCAACUGCCUGAAACAUCUCACCUUAAGGGGAAGCAAUGAGACUGUGGAGACAGGCUCUCAUGUACACCAGGCUGACUUCAAACCUUCUACAUAACUAAGCUGACUUCAAACUUCUGCUCUAUCGACUUCUACUACCGGAGUGCUGAGAUUUCAGGUGUUUACUCCUGAUACAGCCAGGCUUAUGUGAUGCUGAGGAUCAAACCCUUGACCUCAGAUUGAAUCUGAAAGAUGCAGUCGGCCAUGAUUCACCAAAACAACUCAUUGGGAAACUUCCUUGAAGUACUGGCUUUCUGCUGAUAUUUGAAGGACUUGUUUUAUGAAGGUAUGAAGUCCAGAUGUAUCAGGUGACUCAGCUUUGCCCAUAUUAUAUAUCUUUUCUCAAAUUGGAUGGAGA
This is a long non-coding RNA of Alexandromys fortis (reed vole), 403 nucleotides long. RefSeq lists it as uncharacterized. The transcript has 4 exons. The record is from RefSeq and is a predicted model, not a curated record. Lineage: Eukaryota; Metazoa; Chordata; Mammalia; Rodentia; Cricetidae.